AUACGGAGGGUGCAAGCGUUACUCGGAAUCACUGGGCGUAAAGCGCGCGCAGGCGGCUUGAUAAGUUGGAUGUGAAAGCCUACGGCUCAACCGUAGAACUGCAUCCAAAACUGUCAAGCUAGAGUCUGUGAGGGGAAGAUGGAAUUAGUUGUGUAGGGGUAAAAUCCGUAGAGAUAACUAGGAAUACCAAAAGCGAAGGCGAUCUUCUGGAACAGUACUGACGCUGAGGCGCGAAAGCGUGGGGAGCAAACAGAAUUAGAAACCCGGGUAGUCC
RNAcentral lists this ribosomal RNA (274 nucleotides) under uncultured bacterium. Its description in RNAcentral is "partial 16S ribosomal RNA". It matches the Rfam family "Bacterial small subunit ribosomal RNA", at positions 523 to 796 of the family's 1533-position model. The record is from RNAcentral.